GAUGAACGCUGGCGGCGUGCUUAACACAUGCAAGUCGAACGAGAAGUGAAGACGGAAACCUUCGGGCGGAAGGCUUUAUUUCGAGUGGCGGACGGGUGAGUAACGCGUGGGUAACCUGCCUCAUACAGGGGGAUAACAGUUGGAAACGACUGUUAAUACCGCAUAAGACCACAGCACCGCAUGGUGCGGGGGUAAAAACUCCGGUGGUAUGAGAUGGACCCGCGUUCGAUUAGCCAGUUGGCGGGGUAACGGCCCACCAAAGCGACGAUCGAUAGCCGAUCUGAGAGGAUGACCGGCCACAUUGGGACUGUGACACGGCCCAAACUCCUACGGGAGGCAGCAGUGGGGAAUAUUGCACAAUGGGGGAAACCCUGAUGCAGCGACGCCGCGUGAGUGAAGAAGUAUUUCGGUAUGUAAAGCUCUAUCAGCAGGGAAGAAAAUGACGGUACCUGAGUAAGAAGCCCCGGCUAACUACGUG
Molecule: ribosomal RNA, 478 nt
Filed under: uncultured bacterium
Lineage: Bacteria
Description: partial 16S ribosomal RNA
Rfam family: Bacterial small subunit ribosomal RNA
Source: RNAcentral